RNAcentral lists this ribosomal RNA (440 nucleotides) under uncultured bacterium. RNAcentral's name for it is "partial 16S ribosomal RNA". It matches the Rfam family "Bacterial small subunit ribosomal RNA", at positions 338 to 795 of the family's 1533-position model. The record is from RNAcentral.
CCUACGGGAGGCAGCAGUGGGGAAUAUUGCACAAUGGGGGAAACCCUGAUGCAGCGACGCCGCGUGAGUGAAGAAGGAUUUCUGUAUGUAAAGCUCUAUCAGCAGGGAAGAAAAUGAAGGUACCUGAUUAAGAAGCCCCGGCUAACUACGUGCCAGCAGCCGCGGUAAUACGUAGGGUGCAAGCGUUAUCCGGAUUUACUGGGUGUAAAGGGGGCGUAGACGGCUGCGCAAGUCUGAAGUGAAAUGCCGGGGCUUAACCCCGGAACUGCUUUUGAAACUGUGCAGCUAGAGUGCAGGCGAGGUAAGUGGAAUUCCUAGUGUAGCGGUGAAAUGCAUAGAUAUCACGCAGAACUCCGAUUGCGAAGGCAGCAUACCGGCGCUCAACUGACGCUGAUGCACGAAAGUGUGGGUAUCGAACAGGAUUAGAUACCCGGGUAGUC